UGGGGAAUUUUGCACAAUGGGCGCAAGCCUGAUGCAGCGACGCCGCGUGAGGGUUGAAGGCCUUCGGGUUGUAAACCUUUUUCGCUCAUGGUCAAGCCGCAGCUUUGGGUUGUGGUGAGGGUAGUGGGUAAAGAAGCGCCGGCUAACUACGUGCCAGCAGCCGCGGUAAUACGUAGGGCGCGAGCGUUGUCCGGAAUUAUUGGGCGUAAAGGGCUUGUAGGCGGUUUUUUAAGUCAGGUGUCAAAGCGUGGAGCUUAACUCCAUUAAGCACUUGAAACUGAAAGACUUGAGUGAAGGAGAGGGAAGUGGAAUUCCUAGUGUAGCGAUGAAAUGCGUAGAUAUUAGGAGGAAUACCGGUGGCGAAGGCGACUUUCUGGACUUUUACUGACGCUCAGGUACGAAAGCGUGGGGAGCAAACAGG
Molecule: ribosomal RNA, 421 nt
Filed under: Verrucomicrobiota bacterium
Lineage: Bacteria; Pseudomonadati; Verrucomicrobiota
Description: Verrucomicrobia bacterium partial 16S ribosomal RNA
Rfam family: Bacterial small subunit ribosomal RNA
Source: RNAcentral